Molecule: long non-coding RNA, 191 nt
Organism: Myotis davidii
Lineage: Eukaryota; Metazoa; Chordata; Mammalia; Chiroptera; Vespertilionidae
Exons: 2
Source: RefSeq, a predicted model, not a curated record
CUGCCCUCCCCUCCGCUCUGCCCACCCUGGACCCCAGGGAGUCCCUAACCCUUUGGAACCCGCAGCCCAUUGCAUGCCAAAGUGAAGGUGCUGGGGCUGGAGGCCGACAAGCUCACCAUCCUCCGGGGCUGCCCAGGGCUGCCCGGGGCCCAGGGGCUCAAGGGAGAGGCAGGCGCCAACGGCAGGAAAGG